UACGGGGGGGGCAAGCGUUGUUCGGAAUUACUGGGCGUAAAGGGCGCGUAGGCGGUUUGUUAAGUUGAAUGUGAAAACUCUGGGCUUAACCCAGAGCCUGCAUUCAAUACUGGCAGGCUAGAGUUCUGGAGGGGAUAGCGGAAUUCCUGGUGUAGCGGUGAAAUGCGUAGAUAUCAGGAGGAACACCGGUGGCGAAGGCGGCUAUCUGGACAGAGUCUGACGCUGAGGCGCGAAAGCUAGGGGAGCAAACAGG
RNAcentral lists this ribosomal RNA (253 nucleotides) under uncultured bacterium. RNAcentral's name for it is "partial 16S ribosomal RNA". It matches the Rfam family "Bacterial small subunit ribosomal RNA", at positions 524 to 776 of the family's 1533-position model. The record is from RNAcentral.